Molecule: small RNA, 184 nt
Filed under: Candidatus Spyradosoma merdigallinarum
Lineage: Bacteria; Pseudomonadati; Verrucomicrobiota; Opitutia
Description: 6S RNA
Source: RNAcentral
GACGCUCUGCAGUGUUCGAGCCUCCGUUAAAACGCUCUUUUCCUAUGAGUCUAUUACGGGAUUUGCGAAAUGCGCGGGAACGCCGGGCCGCCUCGGGCGGAUGGCGCGAGCGCGCGAAUGCGAAGCCCACCUUGCUGUAAAUGGUGCAAGAGAUUUAGCUGGAGACGGCACAGGCGGAGCUUUU